RNAcentral lists this ribosomal RNA (247 nucleotides) under uncultured archaeon. Its description in RNAcentral is "partial 16S ribosomal RNA". It matches the Rfam family "Archaeal small subunit ribosomal RNA", at positions 691 to 938 of the family's 1478-position model. The record is from RNAcentral.
CCGACGGUGAGAGACGAAAGCUGGGGGAGCAAACCGGAUUAGAUACCCGGGUAGUCCCAGCUGUAAACGAUGCGCGUUAGGUGUGUCAGUGACCACGUGUCACUGAUGUGCCGACGGGAAACCGUGAAACGCGCCGCCUGGGGAGUACGGUCGCAAGGCUGAAACUUAAAGGAAUUGGCGGGGAGCACCACAACGGGUGGAGCCUGCGGUUUAAUCGGACUCAACGCCGGAAAUCUCACCGGAUAAG